UAGGGCUAUACGGACUCGAACCGUAGACCUUCUCGGUGUGUAAACGAGGUGCUCUACCUAACUGAGCUAUA
Molecule: transfer RNA, 71 nt
Filed under: Handeliodendron bodinieri
Lineage: Eukaryota; Viridiplantae; Streptophyta; Magnoliopsida; Sapindales; Sapindaceae
Description: tRNA-Val
Source: RNAcentral